Molecule: long non-coding RNA, 2419 nt
Filed under: Diabrotica virgifera virgifera (western corn rootworm)
Lineage: Eukaryota; Metazoa; Arthropoda; Insecta; Coleoptera; Chrysomelidae
Description: uncharacterized LOC126878540
Source: RNAcentral
UGAGUACUGCAUCUACAGACACAGCUGAUUUUAAAUAUUUUAUAAAAUUUAUAAACUUUUAUAUAAUUAACAUUUUAAUGUUAACCAGAAUUGUACGUUGACUGAGGUUGAUUAUUUGUGUUUUUAUUUUGUUUUGAUAUUUGUGCUAAAAUAUUUGCAUUAGAAUUAUCUUCAGUUUGAUCCAAAUUAGGAACUAUUGUAUUUUCGUCUAUUAAAAAAUUAUGCACCAUGAAACCUAAAUUUAUAGUUUGAACUUUACUAGGAGCUAAAUAUAUGGUUAUUAGUAGAACAGUAGUCCAUACCAAACGGUAUAUUAAGUAUCAAUAAAAGAUUUAUAAAUAAUACCUACAAAAACACAAAUAAAUUCAUCAAUACAUUAUCCCAUUUUCAUUUCAGCCGCCAUUAUGAGUAAGUAAUUUUGACAUUUUAGAUGUUUUACCAGCAGGUUUUACGUUUUUGCUCUUUGCGCAGAAAUUGGCGCAGUUCUUGUACAAUAAUCUGUGCCUGACACAAAUUCUUGUAUCGUUUCUGAUAUCGUUUCUUGUAUCUGUGUAUGACACUAUGCAUUUUUUUGACAUAUCAGAAACGAUAUUAGAAAUGAUACAAGAAAAUGUAUAGUGUCAUACAGCCUUUAGGUUGUACAACGGUUGUAAUACUUAGGGAUGAGUAAUGCUUUUAGCGUUCUUUUAGUGUGGUGAAAGUACAAAGCUCAAAAGAGAAGGACUUCGUGCUUUAGGCUUCAGUGGCUAGAUGUCAUCGUGAACAUUGAUAGAGCUGCGGCUAAAGCUCGCCCUGAUGGAAUACAAUGUUGCCUAAUUUACUGUUCCGUUCCGUCACAAAUCGUCUGUCAUUCCAUUCAAGUCAUUCUGUCAAAAACAAAUUUGGUUUUGUUCUUGUUUUCAAGAAAGUUCUACAAUAUUUUGUUUUGUUCUGUGUUAAGUUCUAUUUUCUAUUUGGUUCUAUUUUUUAGUCAUGAAGUUAAGUAGUAUCGUGGGAUAUUUGAAGUUCUUGGGUACUGAAAAUUCAAGAAGUUUUAAACUCUGGUCAUCUUAUUUUGGCUGGAAAAAUAGAGGAAGUUCUGAGCAUACCAUCAAAAUAUAAUAUGGUUUAUUCCUUCAGUAAGGUCCAAUCCCCACGAAAUUAAAGGAACCCUACCUUUCACAAAUGGCAUGAGCAUUAGCCAAAUGUUCUUGUAAAGCAGAAAAUAGUGGAAAAUGUAAACAUGUCUCUACUCUUGUUAAAUGGAAAAUGUGAAAUUAAUGGAACAUUCAGUACAUGAGCUGAAAAAAAUGUUAACAGAUUGGCAAAUGAAGACCAUUUUUAAUUGAUCUAAACAUUUAUAGAAACAAAGUAUAUGGUUAAUAUAAAUAUUACCUGCCAAGUAACUUGGUGUACAAAUCAAUAGUAACCAUAAUUUUUAUUCCCAGGGCCAGUGAGAAACAAUGUGCAUUUGAUUUCUAAGUGUUCUAAGGAAAGAUCUCGUAAGAAUAAAUAGAUCUGUACAAUGAAGAUUAACCUAAUCUGUUUAACCAUCGAAAUUAUUGUAUUGUUAUAAAAAUAAUAAAUCUAUAUUUCAUAUUAUUUACACUUACAUACAUUAACCUGGAAUUUCAUUGUGUCUACAUUAGUGGCCAUAGUCACAAACCUACCCUAGUCAACGGAGGUACUGUCUUUCGCAGAUGUGGUAAUACCGGGUUUGAUACAUUAUUGCUAAAUAAACUUUGUGAAUAGUAACUUUUCACAAAAUAGACAAAAUAGAGUUUUAAUAGUUUUUACUGUACUCAAAUAUUUUUUAACAUUCAGUGGUAAUAACAUAUUAUAUUUUGUUUUGGUAUUUAAAUUUACCUAAAUAUUUAUAGAAAUAUACUAUACUAAAUUCAAGAUGCAGUAGAAAUAAACAAACCAAGACAUGUUAAAUGCUACUAUGAGCACUCCCGAAUCAUAAUUUACAAUGUAUAUACAUUGUAAAUCCCAAAUCAUGAUUUCCAAAGUUUGUACAUUGUGAAUUAUGAUUCGGGAGUACUCCUAAUAGUAGCAUUUAACUUGUCUUGGUCUGUUUAUUUCUACUGCAUCUUAAUUUUAAAUUUAGUGUAGAUGUGGCCAUCAUAGGACGCUUACUUAUAGAUGCAAUAAAAUUAUUGGUUUAUUUUCAUUUUAAAUGUUAUACUUCCAGUAUUGUAUGUAUUACCUAGUAUUAAAACAUAUAUUUUUAAUUAAAAAUAUAAAUAUCUUAUUUUUAUAAUGAACAACAUUAAAUUUACUUCUUGCGGGAGUAGAAAAAAGUUAUAGUAAAUAUUUUUAACUCGUUUAGCUUUUGAUGAUAUUUGCCAUAUGUUUGUGUAAGACAUGUUUAACGAGUAGUCUAAGGACAUAUUAUUAUACUUUGUUAUACAAAAUAGACAUAAAAUUUUGAAACUUU